Molecule: ribosomal RNA, 435 nt
Filed under: Bacillaceae bacterium Ellin7257
Lineage: Bacteria; Bacillati; Bacillota; Bacilli; Caryophanales; Bacillaceae
Description: bacterial SSU rRNA
Rfam family: Bacterial small subunit ribosomal RNA
Source: RNAcentral
GAUGAACGCUGGCGGCGUGCCUAAUACAUGCAAGUCGAGCGAAUGGAUUAAGAGCUUGCUCUUAUGAAGUUAGCGGCGGACGGGUGAGUAACACGUGGGUAACCUACCCAUAAGACUGGGAUAACUCCGGGAAACCGGGGCUAAUACCGGAUAAUAUUUUGAACUGCAUAGUUCGAAAUUGAAAGGCGGCUUCGGCUGUCACUUAUGGAUGGACCCGCGUCGCAUUAGCUAGUUGGUGAGGUAACGGCUCACCAAGGCGACGAUGCGUAGCCGACCUGAGAGGGUGAUCGGCCACACUGGGACUGAGACACGGCCCAGACUCCUACGGGAGGCAGCAGUAGGGAAUCUUCCGCAAUGGACGAAAGUCUGACGGAGCAACGCCGCGUGAGUGAUGAAGGCUUUCGGGUCGUAAAACUCUGUGUUAGGGAAGAACAA